Equus caballus (horse) is the source of this 616-nucleotide long non-coding RNA. RefSeq lists it as uncharacterized. The record is from RefSeq and is a predicted model, not a curated record. Lineage: Eukaryota; Metazoa; Chordata; Mammalia; Perissodactyla; Equidae.
AGAAGACACGACACACAGCAUUAAAAGGCUGUGCACUGCCAGCACAGCAGCCAAGCCAAAAUCCAGCCACGACCCCUCCAUGCUACUGGGUCACUGUGGAAAGUGGACCCAUUGCAUUCCCUGCCCUGGAGCUCCUGGCUUGAUGGGGACUCUUUUACCUCAUUUCAAGAACAUCUCCUUUGAUAAGUUGAGAGCAGGGAUCAUGUCUGUUUUAUUUUCCACUGUAUUAUCUGCCUGACACUAAGAGGUACUCAACAAAACUGAAUGAGUAAUCAAACGGGCUUUAAGCCCCACAAGGUGCCUGUAGACACUAAAGUCAGAAACCAGGCAGAUGGCGAAAGGAGCAACGUCUCUGGAGAGCUUUACACGUGAGACACCUUCAUAUUUGAACUGAUUCAAGCUCAGUCCUGCUUGGAGAAAGGAGGAGGCAUUGAGUGAUCUUAGUGGUUCCAUGAUGUGUUCGAAGUUCCUAAGUCGGCCCACCAGGGAAAGGGCAGUCCUCACCAGAGAAGAGACUGGUGGUGAGAAUGAUGUUCCACACCCAACGCUCGCCUCCGAUCUGCCGGUAGAAGUGGCUGGACACGUAGCCAGAGAUGCAGCAAGUCAGGGCGUACAA